AAGCUUUAGUAAUAGAGCAACACAAAUCAGUUGUGUCAGCAGCCUUGUCUUGUUGAUGAUGUUGUUUGGAGUGUGCGGGACCAAAUGUUGAAUGAUUGAGACUAUAAAAAGCAAUCUUACUGUGAAAUUUGAGUGAAAUCAAAACAGUGGGGAGCGUGAAAUCUUCUUGUAAUGUUAAAGUAAAUGCAUGUUACAGUACA
Molecule: long non-coding RNA, 200 nt
Filed under: Dermacentor andersoni
Lineage: Eukaryota; Metazoa; Arthropoda; Arachnida; Ixodida; Ixodidae
Description: uncharacterized LOC126529796
Source: RNAcentral